Molecule: ribosomal RNA, 392 nt
Filed under: uncultured bacterium
Lineage: Bacteria
Description: partial 16S ribosomal RNA
Rfam family: Bacterial small subunit ribosomal RNA
Source: RNAcentral
AUACGGAGGAUCCGAGCGUUAUCCGGAUUUAUUGGGUUUAAAGGGUGCGCAGGCGGCCAUUUAAGUCAGCGGUUAAAUCGUGGGGCUCAACCCCAUUCUGCCGUUGAUACUGGGUGGCUUGAUUGCGGUCGAGGUUGGCGGAAUUCGUUGUGUAGCGGUGAAAUGCACAGAUAUGACGAAGAACACCGAUUGCGUAGGCAGCUGACCAGACCGCAAAUGACGCUCAUGCACGAAAGUGCGGGGAUCGAACAGGAUUAGAUACCCUGGUAGUCCGCACAGUAAACGAUGAAUACUUGUUUUCGGCGAUAUAAUGUCGGAGGCAAAGCGAAAGCGAUAAGUAUUCCACCUGGGGAGUACGCCGGCAACGGUGAAACUUAAAGGAAUUGACGGGG